UUAAGCGACUAAGCGUACACGGUGGAUGCCCUGGCAGUCAGAGGCGAUGAAGGACGUGCUAAUCUGCGAUAAGCGUCGGUAAGGUGAUAUGAACCGUUAUAACCGGCGAUUUCCGAAUGGGGAAACCCAGUGUGAUUCGUCACACUAUCAUUAACUGAAUCCAUAGGUUAAUGAGGCGAACCGGGGGAACUGAAACAUCUAAGUACCCCGAGGAAAAGAAAUCAACCGAGAUUCCCCCAGUAGCGGCGAGCGAACGGGGAGCAGCCCAGAGCCUGAAUCAGUGUGUGUGUUAGUGGAAGCGUCUGGAAAGGCGCGCGAUACAGGGUGACAGCCCCGUACACAAAAAUGCACAUACUGUGAGCUCGAUGAGUAGGGCGGGACACGUGGUAUCCUGUCUGAAUAUGGGGGGACCAUCCUCCAAGGCUAAAUACUCCUGACUGACCGAUAGUGAACCAGUACCGUGAGGGAAAGGCGAAAAGAACCCCGGCGAGGGGAGUGAAAAAGAACCUGAAACCGUGUACGUACAAGCAGUGGGAGCACGCUUAGGCGUGUGACUGCGUACCUUUUGUAUAAUGGGUCAGCGACUUAUAUUCUGUAGCAAGGUUAACCGAAUAGGGGAGCCGAAGGGAAACCGAGUCUUAACUGGGCGUUAAGUUGCAGGGUAUAGACCCGAAACCCGGUGAUCUAGCCAUGGGCAGGUUGAAGGUUGGGUAACACUAACUGGAGGACCGAACCGACUAAUGUUGAAAAAUUAGCGGAUGACUUGUGGCUGGGGGUGAAAGGCCAAUCAAACCGGGAGAUAGCUGGUUCUCCCCGAAAGCUAUUUAGGUAGCGCCUCGUGAAUUCAUCUCCGGGGGUAGAGCACUGUUUCGGCAAGGGGGUCAUCCCGACUUACCAACCCGAUGCAAACUGCGAAUACCGGAGAAUGUUAUCACGGGAGACACACGGCGGGUGCUAACGUCCGUCGUGAAGAGGGAAACAACCCAGACCGCCAGCUAAGGUCCCAAAGUCAUGGUUAAGUGGGAAACGAUGUGGGAAGGCCCAGACAGCCAGGAUGUUGGCUUAGAAGCAGCCAUCAUUUAAAGAAAGCGUAAUAGCUCACUGGUCGAGUCGGCCUGCGCGGAAGAUGUAACGGGGCUAAACCAUGCACCGAAGCUGCGGCAGCGACACUAUGUGUUGUUGGGUAGGGGAGCGUUCUGUAAGCCUGCGAAGGUGUGCUGUGAGGCAUGCUGGAGGUAUCAGAAGUGCGAAUGCUGACAUAAGUAACGAUAAAGCGGGUGAAAAGCCCGCUCGCCGGAAGACCAAGGGUUCCUGUCCAACGUUAAUCGGGGCAGGGUGAGUCGACCCCUAAGGCGAGGCCGAAAGGCGUAGUCGAUGGGAAACAGGUUAAUAUUCCUGUACUUGGUGUUACUGCGAAGGGGGGACGGAGAAGGCUAUGUUGGCCGGGCGACGGUUGUCCCGGUUUAAGCGUGUAGGCUGGUUUUCCAGGCAAAUCCGGAAAAUCAAGGCUGAGGCGUGAUGACGAGGCACUACGGUGCUGAAGCAACAAAUGCCCUGCUUCCAGGAAAAGCCUCUAAGCAUCAGGUAACAUCAAAUCGUACCCCAAACCGACACAGGUGGUCAGGUAGAGAAUACCAAGGCGCUUGAGAGAACUCGGGUGAAGGAACUAGGCAAAAUGGUGCCGUAACUUCGGGAGAAGGCACGCUGAUAUGUAGGUGAAGUCCCUCGCGGAUGGAGCUGAAAUCAGUCGAAGAUACCAGCUGGCUGCAACUGUUUAUUAAAAACACAGCACUGUGCAAACACGAAAGUGGACGUAUACGGUGUGACGCCUGCCCGGUGCCGGAAGGUUAAUUGAUGGGGUCAGCGCAAGCGAAGCUCUUGAUCGAAGCCCCGGUAAACGGCGGCCGUAACUAUAACGGUCCUAAGGUAGCGAAAUUCCUUGUCGGGUAAGUUCCGACCUGCACGAAUGGCGUAAUGAUGGCCAGGCUGUCUCCACCCGAGACUCAGUGAAAUUGAACUCGCUGUGAAGAUGCAGUGUACCCGCGGCAAGACGGAAAGACCCCGUGAACCUUUACUAUAGCUUGACACUGAACAUUGAGCCUUGAUGUGUAGGAUAGGUGGGAGGCUUUGAAGUGUGGACGCCAGUCUGCAUGGAGCCGACCUUGAAAUACCACCCUUUAAUGUUUGAUGUUCUAACGUUGACCCGUGAUCCGGGUUGCGGACAGUGUCUGGUGGGUAGUUUGACUGGGGCGGUCUCCUCCUAAAGAGUAACGGAGGAGCACGAAGGUUGGCUAAUCCUGGUCGGACAUCAGGAGGUUAGUGCAAUGGCAUAAGCCAGCUUGACUGCGAGCGUGACGGCGCGAGCAGGUGCGAAAGCAGGUCAUAGUGAUCCGGUGGUUCUGAAUGGAAGGGCCAUCGCUCAACGGAUAAAAGGUACUCCGGGGAUAACAGGCUGAUACCGCCCAAGAGUUCAUAUCGACGGCGGUGUUUGGCACCUCGAUGUCGGCUCAUCACAUCCUGGGGCUGAAGUAGGUCCCAAGGGUAUGGCUGUUCGCCAUUUAAAGUGGUACGCGAGCUGGGUUUAGAACGUCGUGAGACAGUUCGGUCCCUAUCUGCCGUGGGCGCUGGAGAACUGAGGGGGGCUGCUCCUAGUACGAGAGGACCGGAGUGGACGCAUCACUGGUGUUCGGGUUGUCAUGCCAAUGGCACUGCCCGGUAGCUAAAUGCGGAAGAGAUAAGUGCUGAAAGCAUCUAAGCACGAAACUUGCCCCGAGAUGAGUUCUCCCUGACCCUUUAAGGGUCCUGAAGGAACGUUGAAGACGACGACGUUGAUAGGCCGGGUGUGUAAGCGCAGCGAUGCGUUGAGCUAACCGGUACUAAUGAACCGUGAGGCUUAACCUU
RNAcentral lists this ribosomal RNA (2901 nucleotides) under Escherichia coli. RNAcentral's name for it is "bacterial LSU rRNA". It matches the Rfam family "Bacterial large subunit ribosomal RNA". The record is from RNAcentral. Lineage: Bacteria; Pseudomonadati; Pseudomonadota; Gammaproteobacteria; Enterobacterales; Enterobacteriaceae.